CCUACGGGUGGCAGCAGUGGGGAAUAUUGCACAAUGGGGGAAACCCUGAUGCAGCGACGCCGCGUGAGUGAAGAAGUAUUUCGGUAUGUAAAGCUCUAUCAGCCGGGAAGAAAAACGCCGGUACCUGCCUCAGAAGCCCCGGCUAACUACGUGCCAGCAGCCUCGGUCCUACGUAGGGGGCAAGCGUUAUCCGGAUUUACUGGGGUUAAAGGGCGUGAAGCCGGGAAGACAAGUCAGAUGUGAAAUCCCGCGGCUCAACCGCGGAACUGCAGUUGAAACUGGUUGUCUGGAUUAGCGGAGAGGUCAGCGGAAUGCCUUGUGUAGCGGUGAAAUGCGUAGAUAUAAGGAAGAACACCAGUGGCGAAGGCGGAUGACUGGACGGCAACUGACGGUGAGGCGCGAAAGCGUGGGGAGCAAACAGGAUUAGAUACCCGAGUAGUC
This 441-nucleotide ribosomal RNA is filed under the name uncultured bacterium. Its description in RNAcentral is "partial 16S ribosomal RNA". It matches the Rfam family "Bacterial small subunit ribosomal RNA", at positions 338 to 795 of the family's 1533-position model. The record is from RNAcentral.